AAACGCUUGAAGUCAGUCGCGUCGGCCGGAACUCAGCCUCGAUUUGGCUCGGGGUGCACUUUCCGGCCCGACGGGCCAGCAUCGGUUUCGGGUGGCGGACACUGGCGAGGGGAAGGUGGCGGCUCCGGCCGCGUUAUAGCCCCCCGUCCCGAACGCCGCCUGGGACCGAGGAAUCCGGCGCGAGCCUGGGAUGCUGGCGUAAUGGCUUUAAACGA
RNAcentral lists this ribosomal RNA (215 nucleotides) under Hydnodontaceae sp. Its description in RNAcentral is "partial large subunit ribosomal RNA". Lineage: Eukaryota; Fungi; Basidiomycota; Agaricomycetes; Trechisporales; Hydnodontaceae. The record is from RNAcentral.